UGAGGGCAACUCGACACUCUCGUGCU
This 26-nucleotide non-coding RNA is filed under the name Rattus norvegicus (Norway rat). Lineage: Eukaryota; Metazoa; Chordata; Mammalia; Rodentia; Muridae. The record is from RNAcentral.